GAUGAAGAACGCAGCGAAAUGCGAUACUUGGUGUGAAUUGCAGAAUCCCGUGAACCAUCGAGUCUUUGAACGCAAGUUGCGCCCGAAGCCACUAGGCCGAGGGCACGCCUGCCUGGGCGUCACACGCCGUUGCCCCCCCAUCUACUCCUUCGGGAUUGCGGGGGGGCGGAUGAUGGCCUCCCGUGCGCCUAGCCGCGCGGUUGGCAUAAAUACCAAGUCCUCGGCGAGGCACGCCACGACAAUCGGUGGUUGCGAAACCUCGGUUGCCCGUCGUGUGCGUUCGUCGCGCAUCGAGGGCUCGAAAAAAUGCUCGGCUCCGGCUGGGCUUUCAACGCGACCCCAGGUCAGGCGGGGUUACCCGCUGAAUUUAUGCAUAUCAAUAAGCGGAGGA
Molecule: unclassified non-coding RNA, 391 nt
Filed under: soil metagenome
Description: partial contains 5.8S ribosomal RNA, internal transcribed spacer 2, and large subunit ribosomal RNA
Rfam family: 5.8S ribosomal RNA (bases 1-122)
Source: RNAcentral